CCGGGGUUCGAUUUCCCGCCGGAGAGCCA
This 29-nucleotide small RNA is filed under the name Bombyx mori (domestic silkworm). RNAcentral describes it as "ovarian small RNA-13908". Lineage: Eukaryota; Metazoa; Arthropoda; Insecta; Lepidoptera; Bombycidae. The record is from RNAcentral.